UUAAGCGACUAAGCGUACACGGUGGAUGCCCUGGCAGUCAGAGGCGAUGAAGGACGUGCUAAUCUGCGAUAAGCGUCGGUAAGGUGAUAUGAACCGUUAUAACCGGCGAUUUCCGAAUGGGGAAACCCAGUGUGAUUCGUCACACUAUCAUUAACUGAAUCCAUAGGUUAAUGAGGCGAACCGGGGGAACUGAAACAUCUAAGUACCCCGAGGAAAAGAAAUCAACCGAGAUUCCCCCAGUAGCGGCGAGCGAACGGGGAGCAGCCCAGAGCCUGAAUCAGUGUGUGUGUUAGUGGAAGCGUCUGGAAAGGCGCGCGAUACAGGGUGACAGCCCCGUACACAAAAAUACACAUGCUGUGAGCUCGAUGAGUAGGGCGGGACACGUGGUAUCCUGUCUGAAUAUGGGGGGACCAUCCUCCAAGGCUAAAUACUCCUGACUGACCGAUAGUGAACCAGUACCGUGAGGGAAAGGCGAAAAGAACCCCGGCGAGGGGAGUGAAAAAGAACCUGAAACCGUGUACGUACAAGCAGUGGGAGCACGCUUAGGCGUGUGACUGCGUACCUUUUGUAUAAUGGGUCAGCGACUUAUAUUCUGUAGCAAGGUUAACCGAAUAGGGGAGCCGAAGGGAAACCGAGUCUUAACUGGGCGUUAAGUUGCAGGGUAUAGACCCGAAACCCGGUGAUCUAGCCAUGGGCAGGUUGAAGGUUGGGUAACACUAACUGGAGGACCGAACCGACUAAUGUUGAAAAAUUAGCGGAUGACUUGUGGCUGGGGGUGAAAGGCCAAUCAAACCGGGAGAUAGCUGGUUCUCCCCGAAAGCUAUUUAGGUAGCGCCUCGUGAAUUCAUCUCCGGGGGUAGAGCACUGUUUCGGCAAGGGGGUCAUCCCGACUUACCAACCCGAUGCAAACUGCGAAUACCGGAGAAUGUUAUCACGGGAGACACACGGCGGGUGCUAACGUCCGUCGUGAAGAGGGAAACAACCCAGACCGCCAGCUAAGGUCCCAAAGUCAUGGUUAAGUGGGAAACGAUGUGGGAAGGCCCAGACAGCCAGGAUGUUGGCUUAGAAGCAGCCAUCAUUUAAAGAAAGCGUAAUAGCUCACUGGUCGAGUCGGCCUGCGCGGAAGAUGUAACGGGGCUAAACCAUGCACCGAAGCUGCGGCAGCGACGCUUAUGCGUUGUUGGGUAGGGGAGCGUUCUGUAAGCCUGUGAAGGUGUGCUGUGAGGCAUGCUGGAGGUAUCAGAAGUGCGAAUGCUGACAUAAGUAACGAUAAAGCGGGUGAAAAGCCCGCUCGCCGGAAGACCAAGGGUUCCUGUCCAACGUUAAUCGGGGCAGGGUGAGUCGACCCCUAAGGCGAGGCCGAAAGGCGUAGUCGAUGGGAAACAGGUUAAUAUUCCUGUACUUGGUGUUACUGCGAAGGGGGGACGGAGAAGGCUAUGUUGGCCGGGCGACGGUUGUCCCGGUUUAAGCGUGUAGGCUGGUUUUCCAGGCAAAUCCGGAAAAUCAAGGCUGAGGCGUGAUGACGAGGCACUACGGUGCUGAAGCAACAAAUGCCCUGCUUCCAGGAAAAGCCUCUAAGCAUCAGGUAACAUCAAAUCGUACCCCAAACCGACACAGGUGGUCAGGUAGAGAAUACCAAGGCGCUUGAGAGAACUCGGGUGAAGGAACUAGGCAAAAUGGUGCCGUAACUUCGGGAGAAGGCACGCUGAUAUGUAGGUGAAGCGACUUGCUCGUGGAGCUGAAAUCAGUCGAAGAUACCAGCUGGCUGCAACUGUUUAUUAAAAACACAGCACUGUGCAAACACGAAAGUGGACGUAUACGGUGUGACGCCUGCCCGGUGCCGGAAGGUUAAUUGAUGGGGUCAGCGCAAGCGAAGCUCUUGAUCGAAGCCCCGGUAAACGGCGGCCGUAACUAUAACGGUCCUAAGGUAGCGAAAUUCCUUGUCGGGUAAGUUCCGACCUGCACGAAUGGCGUAAUGAUGGCCAGGCUGUCUCCACCCGAGACUCAGUGAAAUUGAACUCGCUGUGAAGAUGCAGUGUACCCGCGGCAAGACGGAAAGACCCCGUGAACCUUUACUAUAGCUUGACACUGAACAUUGAGCCUUGAUGUGUAGGAUAGGUGGGAGGCUUGGAAGUGUGGACGCCAGUCUGCAUGGAGCCGACCUUGAAAUACCACCCUUUAAUGUUUGAUGUUCUAACGUUGACCCGUAAUCCGGGUUGCGGACAGUGUCUGGUGGGUAGUUUGACUGGGGCGGUCUCCUCCUAAAGAGUAACGGAGGAGCACGAAGGUUGGCUAAUCCUGGUCGGACAUCAGGAGGUUAGUGCAAUGGCAUAAGCCAGCUUGACUGCGAGCGUGACGGCGCGAGCAGGUGCGAAAGCAGGUCAUAGUGAUCCGGUGGUUCUGAAUGGAAGGGCCAUCGCUCAACGGAUAAAAGGUACUCCGGGGAUAACAGGCUGAUACCGCCCAAGAGUUCAUAUCGACGGCGGUGUUUGGCACCUCGAUGUCGGCUCAUCACAUCCUGGGGCUGAAGUAGGUCCCAAGGGUAUGGCUGUUCGCCAUUUAAAGUGGUACGCGAGCUGGGUUUAGAACGUCGUGAGACAGUUCGGUCCCUAUCUGCCGUGGGCGCUGGAGAACUGAGGGGGGCUGCUCCUAGUACGAGAGGACCGGAGUGGACGCAUCACUGGUGUUCGGGUUGUCAUGCCAAUGGCACUGCCCGGUAGCUAAAUGCGGAAGAGAUAAGUGCUGAAAGCAUCUAAGCACGAAACUUGCCCCGAGAUGAGUUCUCCCUGACUCCUUGAGGGUCCUGAAGGAACGUUGAAGACGACGACGUUGAUAGGCCGGGUGUGUAAGCGCAGCGAUGCGUUGAGCUAACCGGUACUAAUGAACCGUGAGGCUUAACCUU
RNAcentral lists this ribosomal RNA (2902 nucleotides) under Escherichia coli UMEA 3314-1. RNAcentral's name for it is "bacterial LSU rRNA". It matches the Rfam family "Bacterial large subunit ribosomal RNA". Lineage: Bacteria; Pseudomonadati; Pseudomonadota; Gammaproteobacteria; Enterobacterales; Enterobacteriaceae. The record is from RNAcentral.